UCUUUUCUUACUCUCAACCUCAGGCCCAGCUCUCAAAAAUGGUCUCUUACUCUUCACAACGGAUUACACUUCAUGUUUGCCCAAUUCUUCAUUUGUUUUUUCCUUCGGUUCAUCUCAAAAAACUUUUUUCUUUAUUCAAAGUUCAGGUUUGCCCAAUUCAAGAUUUAGUAAUAAAAUGAAAAAUAUAGAAACAUCCAUAUGUAGCCGCUUCUUCUUGCUUUAUUUGUUCAAUUACCAUAGUUUCUUGAUUUGAGAUUUAGAAAAGUGAAAACUUAAAUGGAGAUAAAGUUUAUUUUUUGUUCAUGAAAAAUCUAAAUUAGAGUACAUCCUUUACCUAAAUGGAGAUAAAGUUUUUUUUUCCCAUGAAAAAUCUAAAUUAGAGUGCAUCAUUUUGCUAAUUUGUUGUUAUUUGGGGGAAUUUUUUAUUUAAGGGUAAAAUGAUAACUAUGAAUGAGAUUUUUUUAGCAAACCACGAACCUUUUCUUUUUUUAAUUCCAAAUUGUUCGUCUGUCACUUUCUAGGCAAAGUUUCAGUGAUCUUCUUAAACCUUUUCUUCUCCAAAAAUAUAAACUCUUUUUGGUAUUUCAUGUCCAUCGUGUCUUACCAUAGCGACAAUCAUACAACUUCCUUUUUUUUCUUCACAAAUUUCUCCAAUUCCUAACUCCAAUCAUGAAUCCAAACAUCACCAAAGAGUACCCUCUCGAGAGAGUGAAGCCAAGAACGAUCGAGGUAUUAUACCUACAAGUAUCCAUUCUCUAUGGCUUACUUGAACAGAGACCAGAGACGUCUCUUUGAUUCCAGGAACUUUCAGAAUAUCAAAAAAUACUCACUUUUCUUCAUACGUUCAACUUCUUACAAGUCGGCCACAAAAAAAAUCACUUUUCGUUUCCAUCUCCUGUCAAGUUUUUCUAUUUUCAUCAUUUGCACUUAUUUGUGGAGGUAUACUGUGUUAAUACUUGAGUUCUUGAACUAAUUUUUAUGUCGACUCAUUCUCAAGUUCAUUGAGAGUUUCUAUGCCUAUUGUAGAUCUCUAACUCAUUUGAUUCAUGAUUGGAGUUAAGGUUUGGAGGACAAUUAUUUUAUUUCUCUAGCAUUCAUUUUCUACUCUCAACUUCAAAAUUCAGCACAAGACUAUCAAAGAAUUGAGUUGAAGAUUUGAAGAAAAAAAUCCUAAGAGGCAAAAGGCAUUUAGUUGUGGAGAAGAACAAGACAAUUUUCCAGGACAAUUUUGUUUGGCCAAUUGAAGUUUCCUUAAUUGGAAGAUUUUGUCUACCAAAGAGUCGUUGCAUUGUAGAGACAGUAAGAAAAUGUCAGCUUGUCUAUUAUGCUUACAAUUACAAGAAAGUAAACGAACGAGGUUUCAAGCACAAUGAUACAAAUUCAUAGUUUUGACUAUUAGUUGGAGAGGAAAGAGUUGGAAGAAAGAACUAGAGAAGCUAAUGUGAAAACAAGUCAUUCAUAAGUUCUCGCUUCGGUCAUGAAGCUCACUCUCUUGCAAGUGCUCAUAAGAGAAAUUCUAAUGACGUAUUUAUAGUGGCAUUUGUACUUCAGAAACUUUAUGUAUUUAUAAAAAUAGUUUGACAAUAUUAUUAUA
This is a long non-coding RNA of Solanum tuberosum (potato), 1594 nucleotides long. RefSeq lists it as uncharacterized. The transcript has 5 exons. The record is from RefSeq and is a predicted model, not a curated record. Lineage: Eukaryota; Viridiplantae; Streptophyta; Magnoliopsida; Solanales; Solanaceae.